This 482-nucleotide ribosomal RNA is filed under the name uncultured bacterium. RNAcentral's name for it is "bacterial SSU rRNA". It matches the Rfam family "Bacterial small subunit ribosomal RNA", at positions 29 to 506 of the family's 1533-position model. The record is from RNAcentral.
ACGAACGCUGGCGGCGUGCUUAACACAUGCAAGUCGAACGUGAAAGUCCUUCGGGAUGAGUAAAGUGGCGCACGGGUGAGUAAUAGAUAGGAACGCAUCCUAUGGUGGGGAACAACCACGGGAAACUGUGGCUAAUACCGCAUAAGAUCGAAAGAUGAAAGAGGGCCUCUACUUGUAAGCUCUUGCCGUUUGAGCGGCCUAUCUCCCAUUAGCUAGUUGGUAGGGUAAAGGCCUACCAAGGCUACGAUGGGUAGCUGGUCUGAGAGGAUGAUCAGCCACACUGGAACUGAGACACGGUCCAGACUCCUACGGGAGGCAGCAGUGGGGAAUCUUGCACAAUGGGCGAAAGCCUGAUGCAGCAACGCCGCGUGAGUGAAGAAGGUCUUUGGAUUGUAAAGCUCUUUCGGCUGGGAAGAAGGGUUUAUUGGUUAAUACCCAGUAAAUUUGACGGUACCAGAAGAAGAAGCACCGGCUAACUCCGU